RNAcentral lists this ribosomal RNA (999 nucleotides) under Acinetobacter sp. RNAcentral's name for it is "bacterial SSU rRNA". It matches the Rfam family "Bacterial small subunit ribosomal RNA", at positions 61 to 1054 of the family's 1533-position model. The record is from RNAcentral. Lineage: Bacteria; Pseudomonadati; Pseudomonadota; Gammaproteobacteria; Moraxellales; Moraxellaceae.
GUCGAGCGGAGUGAUGGUGCUUGCACUAUCACUUAGCGGCGGACGGGUGAGUAAUGCUUAGGAAUCUGCCUAUUAGUGGGGGACAACAUUUCGAAAGGAAUGCUAAUACCGCAUACGUCCUACGGGAGAAAGCAGGGGAUCUUCGGACCUUGCGCUAAUAGAUGAGCCUAAGUCGGAUUAGCUAGUUGGUGGGGUAAAGGCCUACCAAGGCGACGAUCUGUAGCGGGUCUGAGAGGAUGAUCCGCCACACUGGGACUGAGACACGGCCCAGACUCCUACGGGAGGCAGCAGUGGGGAAUAUUGGACAAUGGGCGCAAGCCUGAUCCAGCCAUGCCGCGUGUGUGAAGAAGGCCUUAUGGUUGUAAAGCACUUUAAGCGAGGAGGAGGCUACUGAAGUUAAUACCUUCAGAUAGUGGACGUUACUCGCAGAAUAAGCACCGGCUAACUCUGUGCCAGCAGCCGCGGUAAUACAGAGGGUGCAAGCGUUAAUCGGAUUUACUGGGCGUAAAGCGCGCGUAGGCGGCUAAUUAAGUCAAAUGUGAAAUCCCCGAGCUUAACUUGGGAAUUGCAUUCGAUACUGGUUAGCUAGAGUGUGGGAGAGGAUGGUAGAAUUCCAGGUGUAGCGGUGAAAUGCGUAGAGAUCUGGAGGAAUACCGAUGGCGAAGGCAGCCAUCUGGCCUAACACUGACGCUGAGGUGCGAAAGCAUGGGGAGCAAACAGGAUUAGAUACCCUGGUAGUCCAUGCCGUAAACGAUGUCUACUAGCCGUUGGGGCCUUUGAGGCUUUAGUGGCGCAGCUAACGCGAUAAGUAGACCGCCUGGGGAGUACGGUCGCAAGACUAAAACUCAAAUGAAUUGACGGGGGCCCGCACAAGCGGUGGAGCAUGUGGUUUAAUUCGAUGCAACGCGAAGAACCUUACCUGGCCUUGACAUAGUAAGAACUUUCCAGAGAUGGAUUGGUGCCUUCGGGAACUUACAUACAGGUGCUGCAUGGCUGUCG